This 1434-nucleotide ribosomal RNA is filed under the name uncultured bacterium. Its description in RNAcentral is "bacterial SSU rRNA". It matches the Rfam family "Bacterial small subunit ribosomal RNA". The record is from RNAcentral.
AGAGUUUGAUCCUGGCUCAGGAUGAACGCCGGCGGUGUGCCUAAUACAUGCAAGUCGUACGCACUGGCCCAACUGAUUGAUGGUGCUUGCACCUGAUUGACGAUGGAUCACCAGUGAGUGGCGGACGGGUGAGUAACACGUAGGUAACCUGCCUCGGAGCGGGGGAUAACAUUUGGAAACAGAUGCUAAUACCGCAUAACAACAAAAGCCACAUGGCUUUUGUUUGAAAGAUGGCUUUGGCUAUCACUCUGGGAUGGACCUGCGGUGCAUUAGCUAGUUGGUAAGGUAACGGCUUACCAAGGCAAUGAUGCAUAGCCGAGUUGAGAGACUGAUCGGCCACAAUGGAACUGAGACACGGUCCAUACUCCUACGGGGGGCAGCAGUAGGGAAUCUUCCACAAUGGGCGCAAGCCUGAUGGAGCAACACCGCGUGAGUGAAGAAGGGUUUCGGCUCGUAAAGCUCUGUUGUUGGAGAAGAACGUGCGUGAGAGUAACUGUUCACGCAGUGACGGUAUCCAACCAGAAAGUCACGGCUAACUACGUGCCAGCAGCCGCGGUAAUACGUAGGUGGCAAGCGUUAUUCGGAUUUAUUGGGCGUAAAGCGAGCGCAGGCGGUUGCUUAGGUCUGAUGUGAAAGCCUUCGGCUUAACCGAAGAAGUGCAUCGGAAACCGGGCGACUUGAGUGCAGAAGAGGACAGUGGAACUCCAUGUGUAGCGGUGGAAUGCGUAGAUAUAUGGAAGAACACCAGUGGCGAAGGCGGCUGUCUGGUCUGCAACUGACGCUGAGGCUCGAAAGCAUGGGUAGCGAACAGGAUUAGAUACCCUGGUAGUCCAUGCCGUAAACGAUGAGUGCUAGGUGUUGGAGGGUUUCCGCCCUUCAGUGCCGGAGCUAACGCAUUAAGCACUCCGCCUGGGGAGUACGACCGCAAGGUUGAAACUCAAAGGAAUUGACGGGGGCCCGCACAAGCGGUGGAGCAUGUGGUUUAAUUCGAAGCUACGCGAAGAACCUUACCAGGUCUUGACAUCUUGCGCUAACCUUAGAGAUAAGGCGUUCCCUUCGGGGACGCAAUGACAGGUGGUGCAUGGUCGUCGUCAGCUCGUGUCGUGAGAUGUUGGGUUAAGUCCCGCAACGAGCGCAACCCUUGUUACUAGUUGCCAGCAUUAAGUUGGGCACUCUAGUGAGACUGCCGGUGACAAACCGGAGGAAGGUGGGGACGACGUCAGAUCAUCAUGCCCCUUAUGACCUGGGCUACACACGUGCUACAAUGGACGGUACAACGAGUCGCAAGCUCGCGAGAGUAAGCUAAUCUCUUAAAGCCGUUCUCAGUUCGGACUGUAGGCUGCAACUCGCCUACACGAAGUCGGAAUCGCUAGUAAUCGCGGAUCAGCAUGCCGCGGUGAAUACGUUCCCGGGCCUUGUACUCACCGCCCGUCA